RNAcentral lists this unclassified non-coding RNA (1751 nucleotides) under Hevea brasiliensis (rubber tree). The record is from RNAcentral. Lineage: Eukaryota; Viridiplantae; Streptophyta; Magnoliopsida; Malpighiales; Euphorbiaceae.
GUUGGCUCCCUGACUAGUAUUUUCAGCUUCUUCGUUGUGAAGUUCACCAUUCAUGUGUUCUGAUGCGUUAGUUGCAUUCCAGAAGGUGCCAUGAGAGUAAUAAAUUGUAACUCUCCAAGGAAGCAAAUGACUCAGAUAAGAUUGCCGAUUUGACACUCAUCAAGUAUAAGUUUUAAGCGAACAGCAUUAGUGGAGGGUUGCAAUUUUGGAAUUGCGGUUUAUUGGAAGACUGGUUUUGAAUGAUAACCAGUGAACUAUUUGUGAAAAAACGUAACAUGCAGCAAAGUGGUGGAUGUAGUAAAUGCAGUUGCUUCCACUAUUUUUUAUUUUGAGUGCAAAGAAAUGGUUUCAAGCUAUUCUUAUUACAUCAGAACUCAAGUUUCAUUCGCUUCAAAAAUAUGUAUGGUCGUAUUUUUCUUCCAAAGGAUGUUCCUGCCCUUGUUAAUAUGCAGCUUUGUUGUCUGUAUUGUGUACAAACGUUCCAGAUAUAUUAUUUACUAGUUAUGCCAUUCCCUCUUUGGUUGUCUUCCCAAUCCUCGAGUUUUGCAUAAGAUAACAGCUCUUCGACAAGUCAUGCAAUUACUCCCUUUUGUUUGGCAUAAAGGAGAGAGUUUCAAUAGGGUUGAAUGAGCCAUUAAACCUUCAAAAUCUUUUAAAAAUCCUCUUCAUUAUGAUUUUACCAGUGAAGUACAAGUUUGACAGUUAUCUAGUGUAACGUAACUGCACUGAUGGUGGGCUUGGCAGAAGUUGUGUAAAGAUGAAAGGCCUGAAUACUCCAAAUGCCACAGUUAAUUUGCAACGGUUAUAAUGAAAGUUUAAAGAGAAAAAUUUUGGAAGUCUCUUUAUGCAAAGGUGAAGUUGGAUCUUUUCAAAUCAGUAUAAGCAUGUCCCAAAGUUUGGUGGUUUCCUCGACGGAUUCUAGUUGAUAUUAAAUAUUGGUGUGGUUGGAGGAGAUUAAUGUUGAUCCUGACCAAACUGGGCUCCACAAUGAAAAAAAAUCAAGAGUUUCUUUUCAAGGUUCUUUUGACCAGCUGAAGCCGAAUUCUGACACGGUGCUUUUCUGAAAGGCCAAUUUAUCUGAUGCCAAGGUGACCACUCCACUUUCUUUUCAAAGGGGUUAGUGGAACAUCAAACAUCUCAGGGUCUUAGAAUUCCUGUUCCUUUCUUGUCAUUAUGCAUCGCACUAGAGAUCCAAGAACUAGAGGUGGGGGAAAUUUUGUGAGUUGUACAGGAUAAAUGAUUAGUAGAUUCUCUCUCUUACCCUCUCUUCAAGAUUAGAUCCACAAAGGUCUAUGAUCCCUUGAUAGGAAUAGAGAUAUCUCUCCAAAGUGGGUACAGUUGUUUGAUCAAAAUUCACGAGUCAUAAGCAUUGGAACAGGUUAAGGAAUUUUUGGGGGGCCAUUUGACUCCUAGAGAAACAUUCACGGUAGGAAAGCUCAUGAACAUCCAUUAAUGGAGGUUGACCCGAUGCUGAGUAAGGGGCCACAUCCUGGCCAAACUGGGACUCAGAGAGAUGCCCUAGAGGAUGUUUGACAGAAAGUCUUUCAUUAGGGAUGCGUUUGGUUUUAGGUGCAUGAUCAUCCGCCCAUGAGCAUCAUUGUCAAGAGGAAAAACAUUUGAAAAUGAGAUAACUUCCAUACUUUUCCAUAAGAUAAUCCCGUAGAGUGACAUUUAUAUAGAAUUCCUUCAAUUGCAAUUGUUAUUAUGCUUACAUUAAAAUCAAAAUUUCAUGGAUGUUCAACAUUUCGAGG